CUCUCUCUCUCCACAGUCAUGAGGUCAGCACUGCAUUGUCUCCUGCUGUUCUCAGCUCUUUGGACUCUCUCCUUCUGUGGAACUCGUCAGUUUUAUCUGGUGAACUACAAUAAGAACUGGACUGAAGCUCAGAAAUACUGCAAAGAGAACUUCACUGAUCUGGCAACCAUUGGAAACCAGAGGGAUAUGGAUACUGUAAAAACUACUCUUAACGGGGCAGCAGGUCAUUUCUGGAUUGGACUGAAGCAGAAGAUUCUCUUUGCAAUCAUUCCUUGUGUGGGACUCGUCAGUUUCAUGUGGUGAAUGAAGCAAAGAACUGGACUGAAGCUCAGAAAUACUGCAGAGAGAACUUCACUGAUCUGGCAACCAUUCAGAACCAGGAGGAAAUGGAUGCUGUAAAAGCUGCUAUCAAUGAUUUAAAAGGAGAGAUCUGGAUAGGACUUAAGAUUUACACUGUAAGCAACAGAAAACUUUCACUGAUGGACACACUGAUUAUAAUACAGCAUUAUAUUGUAGUUAUGCUAUAGCCUCCCCUAAAUGGAGGCACUAGACACUAACAAAUACAUGUAAACAAUGGAGAAUAUAUCAUUGUCACUGCCAAGCAAUUAACAUCCAUCUGACUGUUGACAUCUGUCUAGGUUAUAUUCAGUCAGUGGAGCUCCUGUAUUUUCUGUUGCAAAGACGCCAGAAAUGUACCUGAACACACCUCACUUCCAGACCACCAUGACCAUCAGUGUAGAUCUAUUCGUAAGCACUGUUACUAUUUAAGCAAUGCAGGUGCAAGGCAUAAAAAUAGACUUUUGGUCUGGUGUAAGAUAGCAAUAAGCCUUGCUAUUCUGCUUAUUAUAUGCUUAAUGCUAGAGGUCUUCUGAAUACUGCUUUUGUACCAAAAAUGAUAACAAUCACCUGUGGACAUUAACUGUUCAUUAUCACAUCACUAUUAUAAUUUUUUACCUCAUUACCCAACUGUUUUUGAAGUUGUAUAGCUGAAAUAGAGGUGAAAACAUUGUCUAGAUCAUAUGACAGCCAUGUUUUCCUAAAUGUAUAAUCUUUUCAUAGUCCAAAAGUGUUUUAAAACAGUAUUAAAAUAGUUAAUUACUAAAACCUCAUCACAGUCUUAUACAUGCGGUGCUAAAAUAUAUUUUUCCUUUUGGUUUAGUUCCAGCUAGGUUCAGCUGAGGUAGUUCAUGAGGAUGAAUAGAAGUGGUGGAGAUGCUAAGUGUUGGCUAGCAUUAGCUUUUAGUCUAUCACAGAUCCCCAUGUACCAACAACACCAUGUUCUAAUAAGUUUUGGUCAAUUUUUGUUCUACGGCCCCUUUAAGACUGGGAGGAGGAUCUUAUUUGGUAUGCUAAUGAGUACUGAGAGUCCAGGAUUUUAAUCAGUUAAUUGAUCAGGUAUUAAUGUGUCUCUAGAGCUGUAUCUGGUCAGAUGGGAGUGACUCCUCAUACAGAGACUGGAACACUACACAGCCAAACAACCCUGUGGGUGAUAACUGUGUGCACUUAUCGAGGAACAAUGAAUACAAAUGGUCUGAUGCAGGCUGCGAUUGUCAAAUUCCAUUUGUCUGCUAUGAAGGUGAGUAAUAUGAGGCAAUCAAUGCAGCUCAUCUGAUACAGCUCUAGUUUAUUCACUUUUGAUACUUGUGCUUUAUUGUCUGUUCAGACUGUGAGCAGCAAUAAUUGACCAUAUUGUGGCGCUUAGUGGGGACAAACUUCGAUCCACCAGUGCAGUAGCCAGAAAAAGUGCAGUAAUUUAUCAUACAUAUUUUGUUCUUGUCGCACUCAAUUCUGAUUAAGUCUGAUUGUUACUUCCCUUUUCAUAUCUAUGCAUUAGUAUUAAUGCAGUUUAUGGAGAAUACAUUUGUUUUCAUAAGCAUCUGAA
Molecule: long non-coding RNA, 1882 nt
Organism: Astyanax mexicanus (Mexican tetra)
Lineage: Eukaryota; Metazoa; Chordata; Actinopteri; Characiformes; Acestrorhamphidae
Exons: 3
Source: RefSeq, a predicted model, not a curated record